UACGUAGGGUGCGAGCGUUAAUCGGAAUUACUGGGCGUAAAGCGUGCGCAGGCGGUCUGUUAAGACCGAUGUGAAAUCCCCGGGCUUAACCUGGGAACUGCAUUGGUGACUGGCAGGCUUUGAGUGUGGCAGAGGGAGGUAGAAUUCCACGUGUAGCGGUGAAAUGCUUAGAUAUCGUCAAGAACACCGAUAGUGUAGACAGCUUACUAGGCUACAACUGACGCUGAGGCACGAAAGUGUGGGGAUCAAACAGG
This 254-nucleotide ribosomal RNA is filed under the name uncultured bacterium. Its description in RNAcentral is "partial 16S ribosomal RNA". It matches the Rfam family "Bacterial small subunit ribosomal RNA", at positions 524 to 776 of the family's 1533-position model. The record is from RNAcentral.